GAAAGGAGGGAGAGGAGGAAUGGGGGGAGAGGAGGAAGAGAGGGAGAGGAGAAGAGAGGGAGAGGAAAGGAGGGAGAGGAGGAAGAGAGGGAGAGGAGGGAGAGAGGGAGAGGAGGAAGAGAGGGAGAGGAGGAAAGGAGGGAGAGGAGGAAGAGAGGGAGAGGAGGAAGAGAGGGAGAGGAGGAAAGGAGGUAGAAGAGGAAAGGAGGUAGAGGAGGAAGAGAGGGAGAGGAGGAAGAGAGGGAGAGGAGGAAGGGAGGGAGAGGAGGAAAGGAGGGAGAGGAGGAAGAGAGGGAGAGGAGGAAAGGAGGGAGAGAGGGAGAGGAGGAAAGGAGGGAGAGGAGGUAGAGAGGGAGAGGAAAGCAGGGAGAGGAGGAAGAGAGGGAGAGGAGGCAGAGAGGGAGAGGAGGAAAGGAGGGAGAGGAGGAAGAGAGGGAGAGGA
This is a long non-coding RNA of Oncorhynchus tshawytscha (Chinook salmon), 442 nucleotides long. The record is from Ensembl. NCBI's taxonomy places the organism in Eukaryota, Metazoa, Chordata, Actinopteri, Salmoniformes, Salmonidae.